Molecule: long non-coding RNA, 409 nt
Filed under: Elaeis guineensis (African oil palm)
Lineage: Eukaryota; Viridiplantae; Streptophyta; Magnoliopsida; Arecales; Arecaceae
Description: long non-coding RNA (EGUI_LNC018888)
Source: RNAcentral
UUUGGGAUGCUUCUUAAGUAAAGGACAAUCGGCUUAGAGUAUCUUCUCUUGUUGCAAUUGUAGCAUGUGACCCUCUUCUUUUUUUUUUGUUCAUUUUUUUCUUCUUCAUACUUCUCUUCAUGAGGAAUUUUUUGAAUUUUCUUGUAAGUGAUGCCAUAUCCUCAUCAUCUUCACUCUCUUCUUCAUCUUCUUCUUACUCCGACUCAUCAUUUUCUUUAUAAUGUGCAGUAGAUUUAAAGGUGAUGGUUUUUAUCUUCUUUAGCUCUUCUUCUUCCUCUCUUUGAACCAUGUUCAACUCAUAAGUCAUGAGUGAAUCUAUCAACUUUUCUAAGGACAGCUUGGUAAGGUCUUUACUUUUUAAUUUCUUGUAUAACUGUCACUUUUGCUUUCUAUUCUUUUGGUAAAGAUC